UACUAUCACGGGAGUUAAUAC
RNAcentral lists this non-coding RNA (21 nucleotides) under Caenorhabditis elegans. Lineage: Eukaryota; Metazoa; Nematoda; Chromadorea; Rhabditida; Rhabditidae. The record is from RNAcentral.